Molecule: ribosomal RNA, 374 nt
Filed under: uncultured eukaryote
Lineage: Eukaryota
Description: partial 18S ribosomal RNA
Rfam family: Eukaryotic small subunit ribosomal RNA
Source: RNAcentral
UAAUAGUGUAUAUUAAAGUUGUUGCAGUUAAAAAGCUCGUAGUUGAAUGUUGGUGUCGAACGAGCGGUCAGCUUCGGCUGUACUGCUCUCUCGACUCCUUCCUUCUGUGGACUACGUCGCACUUUACUGUGUGGCGCUAGGACGCAGAUCGUUUACUGUGAAAAAAUUAGAGUGUUCAAAGCAGGCCGUACGCUGGAAUACAUUAGCAUGGAAUAAUGGAAUAGGACGUCGGGCCUAUUUUGUUGGUUCUAGGACCGUCGUAAUGAUUAAUAGGGACAGUUGGGGCCGUUUAUAUUCCGUAGUCAGAGGUGAAAUUCUUGGAUUUACGGAAGAUAAACUACUGCGAAAGCAUUCGGCAAGGAUGUUUUCGUUAA